UACAGAGGUCUCAAGCGUUGUUCGGAUUCAUUGGGCGUAAAGGGUGCGUAGGCGGCGCGGUAAGUCGGGUGUGAAAUCUCGGAGCUUAACUCCGAAACUGCAUUCGAUACUGCCGUGCUUGAGGACUGGAGAGGAGACUGGAAUUUACGGUGUAGCGGUGAAAUGCGUAGAUAUCGUAAGGAAGACCAGUGGCGAAGGCGGGUCUCUGGACAGUAACUGACGCUGAGGCACGAAGGCCAGGGGAGCAAACGGG
Molecule: ribosomal RNA, 253 nt
Filed under: uncultured bacterium
Lineage: Bacteria
Description: partial 16S ribosomal RNA
Rfam family: Bacterial small subunit ribosomal RNA
Source: RNAcentral